AGUCAUCAACCCCUCCCGUUUCGUGCGAGAAGGGUUGGAUGUGGGGGCUCUGCUGCCGUUGAGGCGGCUCCCCUCAAAUGCAUCGGUUGGGCCUGUGGGUCGAACUCGACUGGGCGUUGUACCAUCCUCGCUCGACAGAGACGUUCCCCUUUCUGCGCCCUUCCCCGACCUGCCUAUCGAGAGUGGCGGUCAAGCCACAAACUUUGAA
This 208-nucleotide unclassified non-coding RNA is filed under the name Trechispora invisitata. Its description in RNAcentral is "partial internal transcribed spacer 2". Lineage: Eukaryota; Fungi; Basidiomycota; Agaricomycetes; Trechisporales; Hydnodontaceae. The record is from RNAcentral.